This 427-nucleotide ribosomal RNA is filed under the name uncultured bacterium. RNAcentral describes it as "bacterial SSU rRNA". It matches the Rfam family "Bacterial small subunit ribosomal RNA", at positions 354 to 796 of the family's 1533-position model. The record is from RNAcentral.
GUGGGGAAUAUUGCACAAUGGGGGAAACCCUGAUGCAGCAACGCCGCGUGAAUGAAGAAGGCCUUUGGGUCGUAAAAUUCUGUCCUUGGCAAUGAAAAAAAUGACAGUAGCCUUGGAGGAAGCCCCGGCUAACUCCGUGCCAGCAGCCGCGGUAAUACGGAGGGGGCAAGCGUUAUCCGGAAUUAUUGGGCGUAAAGGGUACGCAGGUGGUUUUUUAAGCGUAGGGUAUAAGGCAAUGGCUCAACCAUUGUUCGCCCUACGAACUGAAUAACUUGAGUGCAGGAGAGGAAAGCGGAAUUCCUAGUGUAGCGGUGAAAUGCAUAGAUAUUAGGAGGAACACCAGUGGCGAAGGCGGCUUUCUGGACUGUAACUGACACUGAGGUACGAAAGCGUGGGGAGCAAACAGGAUUAGAAACCCUAGUAGUCC